This 512-nucleotide long non-coding RNA is filed under the name Oryctolagus cuniculus (rabbit). Its description in RNAcentral is "lncRNA (ENSOCUG00000030340.1)". Lineage: Eukaryota; Metazoa; Chordata; Mammalia; Lagomorpha; Leporidae. The record is from RNAcentral.
AUGGUUCUCAGAACACAGCCGGUGCCUGCAAGCCGCCCAGGGAGCUUCCGGCCAUCGCACAGAGGCUGCAAGAACCUUGACCCAGCUCAGCAGGCUCAGGAGCAGAGACAAAGCAGAGUCCAUGGUGCAGGUGCCUGGGACCUGGACGAGGAGCAGAGACCAGUUCAGACAUCUGCAAAGGAAGAGUCCCCGGGAAGCAGGCAGCCUGGAGUGCUCCGUGAGUGGACUUUUGGAAGCAACCUUGUACAAAUGAGACCAACAAGGCCCAGGGGUUCGACUAGAGUGGGGCUCCACUGGAAUGGAGUUCACGGGGAUAAAGUCCUCAGCAUCAGCACCCACAGGAGCUGAAGGCCCUACAUGCCUCUUUGCUGGCUCCGGCCUGGCCCAGCCCUGGCUGUUGUGGUUAUUUGGAGAGUGAGUCAGCAGAUGGAGGAGCUCUGUGUGUGUGUGCACGUGUGUGUGCAACUCUGCCUUUCAAAUAAAUAAAUAACUAUUUAAAAAUAAAUAAAGCA